RNAcentral lists this ribosomal RNA (253 nucleotides) under uncultured bacterium. Its description in RNAcentral is "partial 16S ribosomal RNA". It matches the Rfam family "Bacterial small subunit ribosomal RNA", at positions 524 to 776 of the family's 1533-position model. The record is from RNAcentral.
GACGUAGGGCGCGAGCGUUGUCCGGAUUUAUUGGGCGUAAAGAGCUCGUAGGCGGCUUGUUGCGUCAGCUGUGAAAACCCGCAGCUCAACUGUGGGCUUGCAGCUGAUACGGGCAGGCUUGAGUUCGGUAGGGGAGACUGGAAUUCCUGGUGUAGCGGUGAAAUGCGCAGAUAUCAGGAAGAACACCCGUGGCGAAAGCGGCUCUCUGGAACGGUACUGACGCUGAGACGCGAAAGCGUGGGGAGCGAACAGG